AAAGGAUUUGGUGUUAAAAUUGGCUUUGCCAAGAUUUCCUCUCUCACCUGAUCUCCAUUAGCUCCUAAUUGGACCAGAGGCCCACAUGGUUCCACUCAGAGCCAGCAUCUAAUAAUCACAUAAGGUCUGGCUAUUUGCUUUUUCCCAGUCACAUUAUUAAGGGAUAAUAGCCUUCAGAGAGGACUUGGAGGAAGAUUCACAGUAAAGGGUUGAGGCCAUUUUGGAGGAUUUUUCUUCAAAGAGGGCUGGUCUCCCUGCCAGUCAUUCUGACUCUCUGAGAUAGUUUAUAUUUUAGAAUUGAAUGAGAGACAGUGAACCUCACUACAGUAUUUCAAGUCUUAAUUUUACUCAGCAGACCUGGAAUGUUCUGCUUAUAAGUCAAACAGCACAUUAAGAGGUUGCCCAGCUAUUUCAAUCACAGAGCCCUGGGAAUAAUUAGCCACAGCUAUAGACCUCUGUGGCUGAUUAGGGUAAUUGUGCCCACUACAGCUAAAGGUUACAUGCUAGCACCUGACCUCACCAUGCUGGGAUCUCAUUUGUGCUGGGGAGCCUAGUGCCAUGGCAGCAGACUCACUUUCUUCCUGAGCUCAGAGAGAGCAGCCGCCGUAGCGCUGGUAGCUCUUGUCGCGAAUUCUGGUGUUCCAUGGACUCCUUUGUGCAUUAGUGAAGAGAAUUUCCUGCAAGCUGACAGUCAUCUUUGUAUGGAAGCAGUUCCUCAUGGAGGAGGCCCUGACUGUCUGUACCAUGCUUGGAUCUAAUUCUCAUUUGGGGAAUGGUGUCAACAAGGAAUCUUGGGAGUGGAGACUGAAGAGAACCAGCAUCUUCUCGUGAGAUAUCUCCACCAGACUUAGCUUGUACAUCUGGAAGUUCUCAACUCAAGUACUGUUGAAGCCUAGCUUGAAGGAUUUUGAGCAUAACCUUACUAGCAUGAGUUUGCUGGUCUACCAGAGGUCUUACUCCUAAACCAAAUGCAAGAGACUGAAAGCCCAUUUAUAGCACUGGGCAGGGAUUCAAGAGCAAGCUUGGGAUUCAAGGAGCUCUGGGCCUGAAUCAUAACUUUGCUUCUUCUUAUUCAGCCUUCUACCUACUGCAUACCAGUCUUCUGACAGGCCUCAUCAAGGACAGCUCCUGAGACUCCAGCCAAGGACGUUAACCUUUGACAGUUAAGAAGAGUUGAAAGACAAAAAUGCAUCCCAGCUAUGUGAGCAAGUGUCCUUCACCUACAAGUUGUUCUGGUUGAUGAAGAGUUUAGUCUGACGAGCCUGUUACUCCCCAGAUCCCUGCGAUCUGUUGCCUUGGGGUAUUCCAUUUCACUGCUUACUAGAGUUGGUUGUAUUCAAAGUAAUUAACUUUAAUGUGUUGAUCCUAGAUAUUAUUGAACAAAUGUUGACUCUGUUACCCUUGCCCAUCUAGCUACAGGCUAUUUUGGUUAUACAAGUAUACACUCCUCAUUUGUUGAUGCUGAUAAGGUGCUGAGGCCACCACAGGGACCUAGUAUCUCAAUUCACAGAUUAAAUGAGCUAAUAUAUGUUAAGAACUUAUGCCUGUGCUUGGCACUUUAUUUAUAUCGUAUUAGUAUUUGCUCUUAAGAGCCAAAGAAAAGCAAUAAUCAUUCAUUGGUGUAACCACAUGGGAAGAGGUACGGAAUGUAUUUCGGUUUGAAAAAUGAGUAACAAUUUGCCUCAAAUCUCAAGCAUACAGAACAUGAGAUCAUUUUGUUUUUUUUCUUUAAGUCCCUGUUGCAGGCCAUGAAUAAAACUCAAAAGUCCUGCUUGUGCAGGGAUUUGGUCCAGUCGUGUCUCAGCCACUAUCUCCUCUCUUUUAGGUAACUUCAGUAAAGUAAGAAGGUAAUCC
Molecule: long non-coding RNA, 1854 nt
Organism: Bubalus bubalis (water buffalo)
Lineage: Eukaryota; Metazoa; Chordata; Mammalia; Artiodactyla; Bovidae
Exons: 4
Source: RefSeq, a predicted model, not a curated record